This is a long non-coding RNA of Macaca fascicularis (crab-eating macaque), 1796 nucleotides long. Lineage: Eukaryota; Metazoa; Chordata; Mammalia; Primates; Cercopithecidae. The record is from Ensembl.
UUUUUUUUUUUUUUUUGACCGAGUCUCGCUUUGUCACCCAUGUUGGAGUGCAGUGGCAUGAUCUUGGCUCACUGCAACCUCUCCCUCCCGGGUUCAAGCGAUUCUCCUGCCUCAGUCUCCUGAAUAGCUGGGAUUACAGGCUCGCACCACUACACCUGGCUAAUUUUUGUGUUUUUAGUAGAGGUGGGGUUUCGCCAUGUUGCUGAGGCUGGUCUCGAACUCCUGGGCUCAAGCGAUCCACCCAUCUUGGCCUCCCAAUGUACUGGGAUUAUAGGCGUGAGCCACCACCUGGCCCUGCUGCUACCUUGUCAGUGUUGUAAUGUUUUUCUCUAUUGAGUUGAUUGAAUUCCUUGGUUUUUGCCCUCACUCCCCAACUCUGUCACCGUUGCAAAACACAUACACACAUACACCACUAUACACACUGGUUUCUAAAGACUAGCAGAGCCUCUGAUGCAUCUUUAAAGGACUGAGAUGAGGCAGGGGAUAGUAGCUUAUACCUGUAAUCUCAACACUUUGGGAGACCAAAGCAGAAGGAUCACUUUAUACCAGGAGUUUGAGACCAGCCUGGGCUACACCACAAGACCCUAUCUCUACAAAAAAGUUUUAGAAGUUAGCAGGUUAUGAUGGUGUGUGCCUGUAGUCUCAGCUACUCAGGAGGCUGAGGUGGGAGGAUUGCAUUAGCCCAGGAUUUCGAGGCUGCAGUGAGUUACGGUGGCACCACUACACACCAGCCUGGGCAACAGAGCAAGACCCUGUCUCAAAAAAAAUAAGAACAAAAAUACAUAAAGGGCUGAGAUGGCCCAUAAAGGGCUGAGAAAGCCAGGAGAAUGGUUUUGGAGCAAGAGGGUACAUUUCUGUUUUCUUUUUGUGCCUUUUGGGGUAGUUCACUUAGACACAGGGAAUUUGCAGUCUGAGACCAGAAAAUCUCUACCAUUCAUUCCCUUUUUGACCUUGCUUGGGCUGCUCAACUUCUGCCCAGAGGCUUAGCUCUUCAUCAGGAGAAAAUAAUGCUCUUAGCUCCACCAAGCUGAUAUAGGCCAAGGAGAAAAUGCCUGCACUGGCCAGGCACAGUGGCUCAAACCUGUAAUGCCAGCACUGUGACAGGCUGAGGUGGGAGGAUCUCUUGAGCCCAGGGGUUCAAGACCAGACUGGGCAACACGGUGAAACCCUGUUUCUACCAAAAAUACAAAAAUUAGCCGGGCAUGGUGGAAUGCCUGUAGUCCCACCUACUUGGGAGCCUGAGGUGGAAGGAUCGCUAGACCCCAGGAAGGUCAAGGCUUCAGUGAGCCCAUGAUCUUGCUACUGCAUUCCAGCCUGGGCGACAGAGGCCCUGAUUCAAAACAAAGAAAGCAGAAAAUUCUCACGUCAACCUUUGAGUUCCCUGAGAAGUGCAACCUGAAUGCCAGCUUCAGGCUGGCGACUGGGUUUCACUCUGGAAUCUAGUGUGUUCUGGGUUGGAAGUGAGGGCCUGGAGAGAGGUGCCCAAGCUGGAAUGGAGUUUUUGUUUCUGAGAUGGAGUCUCACUCUGUCGUCCAGGCUAGAGUGCAGUGGUGUGCUCACGGCUCACUGCAACCUCUGCCUCCUGGGUUCAAGUCAUUUUCAUGCCUUAGCCUCCUGAGUAGCUAGGGUUACAGGUACACGCCACCACAUCUGGCUAAUUUUUAUGUUUUUAGUAGAGACAGUGUUUCUCCAUUUUGGCCAGGCUGGUCUUGAACUCCUGACCUCAAGAGAUCUGCCUGCCUCGGCUUCCCAAAGUGUUGGGAUUACAGGCAUGAACUAUGGCGCCCGGGCUGGAA